This 506-nucleotide ribosomal RNA is filed under the name uncultured Paraglomus. RNAcentral's name for it is "SSU rRNA". It matches the Rfam family "Eukaryotic small subunit ribosomal RNA", at positions 569 to 1083 of the family's 1831-position model. Lineage: Eukaryota; Fungi; Glomeromycota; Glomeromycetes; Paraglomerales; Paraglomeraceae. The record is from RNAcentral.
AGCAGCCGCGGUAAUUCCAGCUCCAAUAGCGUAUAUUAAAGUUGUUGUGGUUAAAAAGCUCGUAGUUGAACCUUGGGCCUGGCUGGCCGGUCCGCCUCACCGCGUGUACUGGUCCGGCCGGGCCUUUCCCUCUGUGGAACCCCAUGCCCUUCACUGGGUGUGGCGGGGAAACAGGACUUUUACUUUGAAAAAAUUAGAGUGCUCCAGGCAGGCCUAUGCUCGAAUACAUUAGCAUGGAAUAAUAGAAUAGGACGUGUGGUUCUAUUUUGUUGGUUUCUAGGACCGCCGUAAUGAUUAAUAGGGACAGUCGGGGGCAUCAGUAUUCAAUUGUCAGAGGUGAAAUUCUUGGAUUUAUUGAAGACUAACUACUGCGAAAGCAUUUGCCAAGGAUGUUUUCAUUAAUCAGGAACGAAAGUUAGGGGUCGAAGACGAUCAGAUACCGUCGUAGUCUUAACCAUAAACUAUGCCGACUAGGGAUCGGACGAUGUUAUUUUUGACUCGUUCGG